GACGAACGCUGGCGGCGUGCUUAACACAUGCAAGUCGAGCGGUAAGGCCCUUUCGGGGGUACACGAGCGGCGAACGGGUGAGUAACACGUGGGUGACCUGCCCUUAGCUCUGGGAUAAGCCUGGGAAACUGGGUCUAAAUACCGGAUAUGACUCCAUGACGCAUGGUUUGUAGGGGUGGAAAGCCUUGUGCGGCUAGGGAUGGGCCUGCGGCCUAUCAGCUUGUUGGUGGGGUGAUGGCCUACCAAGGCGACGACGGGUAGCCGGCCUGAGAGGGCGACCGG
Molecule: ribosomal RNA, 282 nt
Filed under: uncultured bacterium
Lineage: Bacteria
Description: partial 16S ribosomal RNA
Rfam family: Bacterial small subunit ribosomal RNA
Source: RNAcentral